This 497-nucleotide ribosomal RNA is filed under the name uncultured bacterium. RNAcentral describes it as "partial 16S ribosomal RNA". It matches the Rfam family "Bacterial small subunit ribosomal RNA", at positions 28 to 507 of the family's 1533-position model. The record is from RNAcentral.
GAUGAACGCUGGCGGCGUGCCUAAUACAUGCAAGUCGAGCGAACAGAUGAGGAGCUUGCUCCUCUGACGUUAGCGGCGGACGGGUGAGUAACACGUGGAUAACCUACCUAUAAGACUGGGAUAACUUCGGGAAACCGGAGCUAAUACCGGAUAAUAUAUUGAACCGCAUGGUUCAAUAGUGAAAGACGGUUUUGCUGUCACUUAUAGAUGGAUCCGCGCCGCAUUAGCUAGUUGGUAAGGUAACGGCUUACCAAGGCAACGAUGCGUAGCCGACCUGAGAGGGUGAUCGGCCACACUCGAACUGAGACACGGUCCAGACUCCUACGGGAGGCAGCAGUAGGGAAUCUUCCGCAAUGGGCGAAAGCCUGACGGAGCAACGCCGCGUGAGUGAUGAAGGUCUUCGGAUCGUAAAACUCUGUUAUUAGGGAAGAACAAAUGUGUAAGUAACUAUGCACGUCUUGACGGUACCUAAUCAGAAAGCCACGGCUAACUACGUG